GCCGGGUAUGGUGGCACGUGCCUGUAAUCCCAGCUACUUGGGAGGCUGAGGCAGGAGAACUGCUUGAACCCAGGAGGCAGAGAUUGCAGUGAGCCAAAAUUGUGCCACUGCACUUCAGCCUGGGUGACAGAGCAAGACUCUGUCUCUG
Molecule: small RNA, 148 nt
Filed under: Callithrix jacchus (white-tufted-ear marmoset)
Lineage: Eukaryota; Metazoa; Chordata; Mammalia; Primates; Cebidae
Description: Metazoan signal recognition particle RNA (ENSCJAG00000069595.1)
Source: Rfam by way of RNAcentral